This 76-nucleotide transfer RNA is filed under the name Rhizoctonia solani. RNAcentral describes it as "tRNA-His". It matches the Rfam family "tRNA". From Rfam's summary of the family: Transfer RNA (tRNA) molecules are approximately 80 nucleotides in length. Their secondary structure includes four short double-helical elements and three loops (D, anti-codon, and T loops). Lineage: Eukaryota; Fungi; Basidiomycota; Agaricomycetes; Cantharellales; Ceratobasidiaceae. The record is from RNAcentral.
GUUCCUAUGGUCUAGUGGUUAUGACGCUUCGUUGUGGCUCGCCGAAGCAGCCCGUGUUCGAUUCACGGUGGGGACA